UUAAAGUUUUAUCCUGGCUUUAAUUUUCAAUCUUAGAUUGAGACACAUGUAAAUUUUAGUAAGACUAUAAAAAGGACUUUAAUCUUAACGAUGAGCGCCUUAACGUUAAGAAAAAACUUUAUAACUAGUAAAACCUCAGUGUCUAGUGCUAAUUAAAUAAACGAGAAUUUGAAUUGGCUAUUUUAAUUAUAGAUUAUAACCGGUCAAAAUUUGUGCCAGCAGCCGCGGUUAGACUAAGGGUUAAAUUGAAAAAGCAUUGGUUAAAAGUAAUUAAAUAGGAAUGUAAAGAGAUAAAAAGCUUGUACUAAUAAAAGGUGAAAUUAGACUUUUAGCUAAUAAGCUAUUUUGAAUUUAACACAAGUAUUGAAGUUACUAAAAUAAAGAAAUAAACUAGGAUUAGAUACCCUAUUAUACUUUAUUUUAAAAUCUCAUACCCGGGUAGUAAUCAGCUAUAAUCUUAAAACUCAAAGGAUUUGGCGGUAAUUUAGUCUGCUUAGAGGAACCUGUCCUGUAAACGACAAACCACGAAUAAUCUUACCUUGCUUUGUAAAUAAAACAGUUUGUAUACCGUCAUUAUCAGAUAACUUUAUAAAAAUAUAAGUUGUUAAAAUAAAAACUUCUUUAGAAUAUUAGAUCAAGGUGCAGCUAAUAGUAAGGCAGAGAUGGGUUACAAUAAACAAAGUUAUUACGGACAAAAAGUGUAAAUUCUUUUUCAAAGGAGGAUUUAAAUGUAAAAGUAAUUUAAUAAGGUACUUUGACUUUAGCACUAAGUUAUGUACACAUCGCCCGUCGCUCUCGUUAAUUAAAGCGAGAUAAGUCGUAACAUAGUAGGUGUACUGGAAAGUGUACCUAGAAAGCA
This 859-nucleotide non-coding RNA is filed under the name Allosergestes pectinatus. The record is from RNAcentral. Lineage: Eukaryota; Metazoa; Arthropoda; Malacostraca; Decapoda; Sergestidae.